This 405-nucleotide ribosomal RNA is filed under the name uncultured bacterium. Its description in RNAcentral is "partial 16S ribosomal RNA". It matches the Rfam family "Bacterial small subunit ribosomal RNA", at positions 360 to 773 of the family's 1533-position model. The record is from RNAcentral.
AAUAUUGCGCAAUGGACGGAAGUCUGACUCAGCGACGCCGCGUGAGCGAUGAAGGCCUUCGGGUCGUAAAGCUCUGUCCUUGGGGAAGAAGGUCUUCGGACUUGACGGUACCCACGAAGAACGCCCCGGCUAACUACGUGCCAGCAGCCGCGGGAAUACGUAGGGGGCGAGCGUUGUCCGGAAUUACUGUGCGUAAAGGGUGUGUAGGCGGCCCUUUAAGUCAAAUGUGAAAGGCCACGGCUUAACCGUGGGAUUGCAUUUGAAACGGGAGGGCUUGAGUGUCGGAGAGGGUAGUGGAAUUCCCAGUGUAGCGGUGAAAUGCGUAGAUAUUGGGAGGAACACAGUGGCGAAGGCGACUACCUGGACGAUAACUGACGCUGAGGCACGAAAGCUAGGGGAGCAAAC